Molecule: long non-coding RNA, 934 nt
Organism: Aegilops tauschii subsp. strangulata
Lineage: Eukaryota; Viridiplantae; Streptophyta; Magnoliopsida; Poales; Poaceae
Source: RefSeq, a predicted model, not a curated record
CCACCCCACGGCGGCGCACCCACUCCCGACCACCUCCCAGGCUCCCACCCCGUGGCCUCUACGUCUCCCCUUCCUAGUGGCCCCUGAUCCCCUCCACCUUCCUCCCGCGGACAGCACCCCACCGCCGCCGCACCCAACCCAGCUUCCUCGUCCAUCCGCCGGACCAGCCACCUACCAGUGUUGCCCUGGCGCGCACCACCUCCGCCCAUCGCUGUCGCAAUAAGCACCGCGCCGGAGACCUUUGGAUCUUGGCAGCCGCGUCCCAGCCUCCCGCGACCCCCGCAGCCGGAUCUGGCUCCACCUUCUCCCCUCCUCCAUCUGCUUGCCAUAGAGGGGAGCCCCGCCUCAAAGAAAAAGGGAGCUUGUCAGCAACGGGGGACGCAUCGGUUGUGUUUGCGCUGGAGGUGUUGUGCAGUUUGCCGGCACAUUCCCUGGAUGCAUGCGAGGGGAGUCAAACGGGGGCACCGAUGCACCAUGGAAGAGCAGUAGUGGCGCUUUGCAAUUCAGAACAAUGGUUUUAGCAUUUUUGCUUUUGAUUUCGGUGUAUUCAGUGCAACUUGCUCACCGGGUUCCCGAGAGGAGGAUCACGCCAAGACGUUUCAGCAGCACACCCACUUGUAGUUCAGUCGGCGAAGGGUUGAGGGCCACCAGGAGACUGACGGCGAGCCAGCCAUAGCGUCCACUAUUAGUCGGCGAAACAAUUUAUGCAUCAGUGUGGACUUGAAGUUCGUCGGCGAUCCACUAGCGGUUGGAGCAACAAGGGCAUGCAGUCCGCUAUUUCCUUUUUUUGUUUGUCUUUUGACAUGCUCUCGCCGAGGACACAUGGCCUUUUCUUUUGCGGUCAUUCACUUGUACGGCUGAUGCGUUCUCAGAUGGAUGGAUGUUUGUUGCCUUCUCAAAUGGAUGGAUAACUGCAGUUUAGUGGCUGCAAAAA